CCCUAUAACAAUACUUUCGACACAGUUAUUAUCUCCGCUGCCUCCACCAUCCACCAUGUUACACACAGUGCUCACUGCUGAUUCUAAAAUGCGCCACCUAGUCAAAACAGGACAUAUGUUCUUCUAGGAAUAGAUCUCUUUCCAAUAUUUCGUCAUUCCACUAUCGUCAUCACCUCAUCAUACUUUCAUUGACAUUACAGGCACACAUCCACAGAGCACUCUUCAAAUCAUCUACACAGUGGUUAUCCAACUAGGAUUAUAAAGGCACAAAUUGACAUAGACCUGACCACUGUUGCAAUCAACGACACAGUCGCUAUCCAAGUAGCAUUAUAGAGCUGUCAUGCAACGCAACAACUGUGCUAUCUGCCAUCGCACAUCAACGAAGAAGUGCAGCCGCCCACAUUCCACCUCACGUCUGUCCGACCAGCUGCAAUCCUCGAGGACGCCCCACUGUACCACGAUUUCACUACGAUGUUUGACAAGAAGGAGCAGUGCGCGAGAUAGGCUAAUGAGCAGACUUCCCUCGCUUGAGUUUCAGAAGAAUGUUCCAUAUCGCGCUAAGCUGACCACUGCUGACCAUGACAGGCGUGCAUUGGACUGGUACAGGUUGGAACUGAACAUUGAAUAU
Lineus longissimus is the source of this 628-nucleotide long non-coding RNA. RefSeq lists it as uncharacterized. The transcript is spliced from 3 exons. The record is from RefSeq and is a predicted model, not a curated record. NCBI's taxonomy places the organism in Eukaryota, Metazoa, Nemertea, Pilidiophora, Heteronemertea, Lineidae.